RNAcentral lists this ribosomal RNA (750 nucleotides) under uncultured bacterium. RNAcentral's name for it is "bacterial SSU rRNA". It matches the Rfam family "Bacterial small subunit ribosomal RNA", at positions 56 to 793 of the family's 1533-position model. The record is from RNAcentral. RNAcentral also lists the same sequence under 1 other name.
UGCAAGUCGAGGGGAAACGAUAGAGAGAGCUUGCUCUUUCUAGGCGUCGACCGGCGCACGGGUGAGUAACGCGUAUCCAACCUGCCCAUCACUUGGGGAUAACCUUGCGAAAGUAAGACUAAUACCCAAUGACGUCUCUAGAAGACAUCUGAAGGAGAUUAAAGAUUUAUCGGUGAUGGAUGGGGAUGCGUCUGAUUAGCUUGUUGGCGGGGUAACGGCCCACCAAGGCGACGAUCAGUAGGGGUUCUGAGAGGAAGGUCCCCCACAUUGGAACUGAGACACGGUCCAAACUCCUACGGGAGGCAGCAGUGAGGAAUAUUGGUCAAUGGGCGAGAGCCUGAACCAGCCAAGUAGCGUGCAGGAUGACGGCCCUAUGGGUUGUAAACUGCUUUUAUAAGGGAAUAAAGUGGGAGUCGUGACUCCUUUUGCAUGUACCUUAUGAAUAAGGACCGGCUAAUUCCGUGCCAGCAGCCGCGGUAAUACGGAAGGUCCGGGCGUUAUCCGGAUUUAGUGGGUUUAAAGGGAGCGUAGGCCGGGGAUUAAGCGUGUUGUGAAAUGUAGACGCUCAACGUCUGCACUGCAGCGCGAACUGGUUUCCUUGAGUACGCACAAAGUGGGCGGAAUUCGUGGUGUAGCGGUGAAAUGCUUAGAUAUCACGAAGAACUCCGAUUGCGAAGGCAGCUCACUGGAGCGCAACUGACGCUGAAGCUCGAAAGUGCGGGUAUCGAACAGGAUUAGAUACCCUGGUAG